Long non-coding RNA from Rhinopithecus roxellana (golden snub-nosed monkey), 2827 nucleotides. RefSeq lists it as uncharacterized. The record is from RefSeq and is a predicted model, not a curated record. The transcript is spliced from 4 exons. Lineage: Eukaryota; Metazoa; Chordata; Mammalia; Primates; Cercopithecidae.
UCUAACCCUCCAACCCCAUCUGACUGCCCCUGUACCGUCCUUUUUCUACGAGGGGUCUGUUAUGAGCUGACCAGUGUCCCAAAGCGGAUAGUGUGAAAUCCUGAGCCCUGCUACCUGGGAAUGGGACUCCGUGUGGACACGAGUUUCUUGCAGAGGUGAUUACACUCAAGAGGAAAUCAUUAACAUGGGCCUGAUUUGAGGACAAGCGUCCUCAGAGAAAGAGGGAAACACGGACACAAAGACACAGGGAGACGGUUCCGGGACGGACGCAGAGGCCAGAGCGAUGUGGACACAGCCACGGAUAGCAGGAGCCCCCAGAAGCUGGGAGAGGCGGGAAGGGUCCUCCCCUGGAGCCUUGAGUGGGAAGUGUGGCCCUGCCCACACCAUGACCCCCGACUCCCGCUCCCCAGGACUGGGAGAGGUUCUGCGAGUGCUGCGUAGGCCCCGUCUGCGGCCUCUCUGGUGGAGCCCCAGGAAACACAGUGGUCCCGUCCCUUCACCAACAGGGACCCUGCCACACCACGCAGGAUCCCGGAUCCGCCUCGCGGACUCUGCCCUGUGGGGACCUCGCUGCACAGGGGCGAAGGCGGCUGUGGUAGGCUCCCGCAGGUCCUGGGACCCAGGCUUUGGGGUCUGAAGCUGAACUAAGCCUUGAAGGUGAGGGACGAACCAGCGCGGCCCUCCACACGCCGGAACACAACCCAGCCAUGAAAGGAGUAAGGCUCUGACCCAGGCCACAGCGUGGACACGCCCUGGGGAUGUUGCACCCUGUGAGAGACACCAGACACACAAGACCUGGGAGGGCCCUGGAGGAGGCCAACUCACAGAGACCAGGAGGGCGGAGGCGACACCUGCCUUUUUAGGAAACAGACACCAGAGGCAGGCACUGGCUUGCGUCACCAGGGCACAGCCGCCUCCCGCAGCCCCAAAGGCCCACGUGUCCCCACCACACCCAAUCACUCCUGGGCCAGCACUGGCCAUUCCAGGACGAGGAGAGGCCUAAGCAUCUGUCCCCAGUGAAGACAGCCUCUGGGGGACAAUUUCCCGAGCGUGGAGCCAGAGGGGCUAUAGAGACCUGAGCCCCAGGAGAGCGGUGGGUGUGGGACCCCGGAACUGACUCACAUAUGAACAGGGAAUCUGCGCAGAUCCUGAGCCCCCGUGGGUGUGGGCCCCCCGGGACCGAUUCGCAGAUGAAGGGGGAUCUACACAGAUCCUCCAGCACUUACAGAAAGGAAACCGCGGAGCAGAGGCCACUUUCAAAGGCAGUACUGUGGCAUGAAAACCCCACCCUGGGGCAGGGGCUCCUGGGGGGGGUCUCCAUUGGAAGCGCAGUGCUACAUACAGGCCGUGCAGAGGUGGUGCGUGCAGCCACAGAGGACUUGAGCUGCGGCCGGGGGAGGACAGCUGGAAACAUCUGCUUCACAGGCAGCAGCGCCCAGACAGCAGCCUGUACCCCUUGGCACACCAAAAACCAGGCAGGACCUGAACACUGAGCUUCAGUGCGGGGGUGAGAGAGCCGCUGCUCAGACUCCAGGAAUCCCAGAGCCAAGAGGCGAGGAACUUGUUCAAGUCUAGCAAAUCCGAGGCCAGAGGGAGGCCAGCCCUCCGCCCUCCUCGGGUAGAUCAGCCACCACCAUCGGCUCCAUGCAGGUCGCUCAGCACUGACGGCUUCACAGGCCCCAUGCAGCCAGCAGGCAACUCACCGGCUGCCGCAGGGCAGAGAUGAUCUGGACUGCCCAGGGGUGUAGGGUCCUGACCCCAGGAUCUGUGCUUAGGCCACCUUGCAGAGCAGCAGGGACUCUGCAGGUGCCACUGAAUGUUUCAGAGGGUGGCAGGUGUGGAUGGGGCUUCCCGAGACACUUACGCUCCCCACGGUCCUGGAGGCCCUCUCUCUGCCCCGCCCCGUGAAGGGUGCCCUGCCUUCUCUCUUUCCUCUCUGUGCCCCCACGGCCCCUGACUUCUGACAGCCCCAUACUGUGUUGGAUGUGGUGGGGAGGGUCAUUCAGUGACCAACACACACGAACGGAGCCCUCCCAACAAGAGGGCCACAGACCCACCCAACCACUGGAGUGAGCUCCCUACGGGAGGGGCGGUGGGAGAAAAUCCAGCUGGUGGAGCAGCGUUCUCGGCAGCGGCUGUGCUGUCAGGAAACCCAGGAAACGCUUUUUUAAUGGAGAUAUGGUCUCCUGCUCUGUCGCCCAGGCUGGAGCGCAGUAGUUUGAUCAUAGCUCACUGCAGCCUCCACCUCCUAGGCUCCAGCUACCCUCCCCCCUCAGCCUCCUGAGUAGCUAGGACCAGAGACAUGCACCACCACGCCUGCUAAAGAAAGCACAUUUGUAAAAGUGGCCCCCAACAACCAGCUGUCAAAGGAAAAGGAAGACGGACAACAGCACCAGCAGACUCCAAACCCCAGCACAGGACAGUCUCCCCAAGACCUGGCAUCUCGCAGAGGGACCCAUGGGCGGGGGAGCGCGGGUACAAGUGGAACAGCUCCAGGACUGCAUUCCAUGCCAGCGCCGCCCCCGCUCCACAUCUGGCUUCGGGGGUGAGGCCCAGCCCUUCCCUUGUCCUGGUGGGAACCGCUCUGGCUUCUGUACCUUCAGCACCCUUGGCCAGGCCUUCUCCAAGAAUGGAAAAACUUCACAAUGCAAAUCUCGUUCAUUAGAGAACUUAGCUGCCAGGCGCAGCAGGAGGAUACCAGGAGUUCGCGAUCAGCCAACAUGGCAAGACCCCGUUUCUACAGAAAGUACAGACAGAGGCACUGUUGGGGGCUGAGGCGGGCAGAUCACCUGAGCUCAGGAGUUCAAGACCAGCCUGGCCAACAUGG